This 377-nucleotide ribosomal RNA is filed under the name uncultured bacterium. RNAcentral's name for it is "bacterial SSU rRNA". It matches the Rfam family "Bacterial small subunit ribosomal RNA", at positions 524 to 898 of the family's 1533-position model. The record is from RNAcentral.
UACGUAGGGUGCGAGCAUUGUCCGGAAUUAUUGGGCGUAAAGAGCUCGUAGGCGGCUUGUCGCGUCGGAUGUGAAAGCCCGGGGCUUAACCCCGGGUCUGCAUUCGAUACGGGCAGGCUAGAGUUCGGUAGGGGAGAUCGGAAUUCCUGGUGUAGCGGUGAAAUGCGCAGAUAUCAGGAGGAACACCGGUGGCGAAGGCGGAUCUCUGGGCCGAUACUGACGCUGAGGAGCGAAAGCGUGGGGAGCGAACAGGAUUAGAUACCCUGGUAGUCCACGCCGUAAACGUUGGGAACUAGGUGUGGGCGACAUUCCACGUUGUCCGUGCCGCAGCUAACGCAUUAAGUUCCCCGCCUGGGGAGUACGGCCGCAAGGCUAAA